CCCUUAGAUGUCCGGGGCCGCACGCGCGCUACACUGAAGGAAUCAGAGUGGCUUUCUCCCUGACCCGAAAGGGUUGGGAAACCCGUUGAAUCUCCUUCGUGAUAGGGAUUGGGGCUUGAAAUUGUUCCCCAUGAACGAGGAAUUCCCAGUAAGCGCGAGUCAUAAGCUCGCGUUGAUUACGUCCCUGCCCUUUGUACACACCGCCCGUCGCUACUACCGAUUGAACGGUUUAGUGAGGGCCUCGGAUUGGUCUCGGCCCGCUCUUUACCGGGCGGCGCCGUUGGUCGAGAAGACGCUCGAACUUGAUCGUUUAGAGGAAGUAAAAGUCGUAACA
RNAcentral lists this ribosomal RNA (334 nucleotides) under uncultured eukaryote. Its description in RNAcentral is "partial 18S ribosomal RNA". It matches the Rfam family "Eukaryotic small subunit ribosomal RNA", at positions 1470 to 1796 of the family's 1831-position model. The record is from RNAcentral.